This 811-nucleotide ribosomal RNA is filed under the name uncultured bacterium. RNAcentral describes it as "bacterial SSU rRNA". It matches the Rfam family "Bacterial small subunit ribosomal RNA", at positions 100 to 924 of the family's 1533-position model. The record is from RNAcentral.
GAACGGGUGAGUAACACGUGGGUGAUCUGCCCUGCACUUUGGGAUAAGCCUGGGAAACUGGGUCUAAUACCGAAUAGGACCACGCGCUUCAUGGUGUGUGGUGGAAAGCUUUUGCGGUGUGGGAUGGGNNNNCGGCCUAUCAGCUUGUUGGUGGGGUAAUGGCCUACCAAGGCGACGACGGGUAGCCGGCCUGAGAGGGUGACCGGCCACACUGGGACUGAGAUACGGCCCAGACUCCUACGGGAGGCAGCAGUGGGGAAUAUUGCACAAUGGGCGCAAGCCUGAUGCAGCGACGCCGCGUGAGGGAUGACGGCCUUCGGGUUGUAAACCUCUUUCAAUAGGGACGAAGCGCAAGUGACGGUACCUAUAGAAGAAGCACCGGCCAACUACGUGCCAGCAGCCGCGGUAAUACGUAGGGUGCGAGCGUUGUCCGGAAUUACUGGGCGUAAAGAGCUCGUAGGUGGUUUGUCGCGUUGUUCGUGAAAACUCACAGCUUAACUGUGGGCGUGCGGGCGAUACGGGCAGACUAGAGUACUGCAGGGGAGACUGGAAUUCCUGGUGUAGCGGUGGAAUGCGCAGAUAUCAGGAGGAACACCGGUGGCGAAGGCGGGUCUCUGGGCAGUAACUGACGCUGAGGAGCGAAAGCGUGGGGAGCGAACAGGAUUAGAUACCCUGGUAGUCCACGCCGUANACGGUGGGUACUAGGUGUGGGUUCCUUCCUUGGGAUCCGUGCCGUAGCUAACACAUUAAGUACCCCGCCUGGGGAGUACGGCCGCAAGGCUAAAACUCAAAGGAAUUGACGGGGGCCCGC